UUAACUUUAUCACCUCACUCGUUUGCGGAUUUCUUGGCAUCCCAGGGGCUGCGGCAUUAAUUGUAAUCGACCAAUAUAUUUUGUAAGGAUCCGUUUAGCUAAAAUAGAAUUGAGAAGGCAUCGUCUAGCCAAAAUGCCUUUUCAUUUUUUUUUGUUAAAAACUAUUGACUUUUACAUACAUAUCAAGUAUAUUAAUAAACGUCGCUGAUAAAAAUAAAAAACAUAUUGACAGCGAAAUGAAUGGUGAGUAUAAUAAUAAAAGUGUGCAACACCAAUUCUAAAGUUCCUUGAAAACUAAACAAAACACAAGCGUCAUAAGAAAAGCUGAGGUCGCUUGCUUAUCGGCGAAACGCGCUGAGAGGCCCGCGAGGAGGCUGUUGCCGCCGCAGCGGGACACGAAGCGUCGCGAGCCGAUAGCGGCCGAAGCUAGACAAUACGAAAAGCUGAGGCUCACAGUACUUUGGUGCUGGAGCUGAAGUGCAAGCCAAUCAACUUUCUUUUGGAGAGUUUGAUCCUGGCUCAGGACGAACGCUG
This 534-nucleotide ribosomal RNA is filed under the name Geobacillus sp. PA-3. RNAcentral's name for it is "partial 23S ribosomal RNA". The record is from RNAcentral. Lineage: Bacteria; Bacillati; Bacillota; Bacilli; Caryophanales; Anoxybacillaceae.